UUCAGCAGCCAUAUCACCUGCAGUUCAGGCUAGACAAUCUGUCUGCAGUUAAGCAGCUUUGGGGCUGGCUAGUACUUGGCUGGGAGACCUGGGAACUGGGAAAGCUGGGUUUUUGCUGGAA
RNAcentral lists this ribosomal RNA (121 nucleotides) under Paramormyrops kingsleyae. The record is from RNAcentral. Lineage: Eukaryota; Metazoa; Chordata; Actinopteri; Osteoglossiformes; Mormyridae.